This is a long non-coding RNA of Pungitius pungitius (ninespine stickleback), 2706 nucleotides long. RefSeq lists it as uncharacterized. The record is from RefSeq and is a predicted model, not a curated record. The transcript is spliced from 5 exons. NCBI's taxonomy places the organism in Eukaryota, Metazoa, Chordata, Actinopteri, Perciformes, Gasterosteidae.
UUGAUACAUUUUUUACUAUUUUACUCAAAUGUAGACCUUCACAGGUUUCAACACAAUAGCAAGUUAAAUAGUUUAGAUAUUCUUUCACAACCGCUCUCUUCAAUGCUUUUUUUUGGAGCAUCGAAGCUUCAGUAAGAAAUAUUUGAGAAUAUGUGUGUCACGGUUUGGCCUCGCUUCCUGUUUUAGUUUGAAGUUUCAUGUCUCUUGUGGUCCUGGGUUAACUUCACUUCCUGCCUUGUCUUGUGAUUGCGUGAUUGUCUCCACCUGUGUCCAAUCACCUGCACCUCCCUUGUGUAUUUAAGCCCUGUGUGCCUGUUGUCCUUUGUCGCGUCAUUGUCUAUAUGUCCCUCGUCGUUGGAGCACGUUAUUGGUUUGUCUAAUAAAGAGCACUUUGAUGGAAGAAACUCUGCGCCUGAGUCCUCACUGCAGCAUGCCCCAGCCGAAGUGUGACAAUGUGAAGCUUUAACGAAGCCAUUGUCACGGAUGUGCUUGCUCCUGCCUCUGUUGAAGAUUGCUUGAACGUCCUCAAAAUACCACUGAAUGAGCAACGAGAGGCAACAACCAAAGCCCACACGCCAUUCUUCUCAGUGGCUUCAGAUGCCUCCAAUCUGGGCACCAAAGCUCUUCCCACUGUCAGUGCGUUACUGGACGCCAGACUUGGGAGUACAGAUGAAGGUCCUUGAUUUCUAUGAUGACAGUGAUGAAAUAUCUGCCGCGAUCCACAACCACAUAGUCACCAAGCUGGAGGAAAACAGACUGGGACUACACAUGAUAUCUGCGUAUUCCGCUGACAAUGCUAGUCUGAAUUAUGGGAGGUACAACUCUGUCUUCGAGAAACUAAAAGAAAACAACAAUUGCAUUUUGAAGGCAAACUGCGUGGCUCACAUUGUUCAAAACAGUGAAAGAGAUCGGCUAAAUGUCGACAUUGAAAAUGUCGUCAACAAGACCUUUAGCCACUUAUCAUCUGCAAAACGCAUUGAGGAACUUAAGUCAAUUCACACCUUUGUGGAGAUGGAGUACCAGUCCCUGCUUAGAUAUGUGCCCACAAGAUGGCUGAGCUUGUGGCCUGCAAUGAAGUGAGGCUUCACGACAGCUGGCCUCCUAUCAAGACCUACUUUCUCUCAUUGGGAGAGGACCAUUGCCCAAAGUCACUAUGGCGGCUGUUCAAGGAUGACCAGCAUGGUGAGGGCAACCCCCUUGAUCUACAGCAAUGCGCUGAAGAUUUUCCACGACACUGUGCUGGUGCUGGAGCGAGAAGAUGGGACUGUCUGUGAGCUCUACGAAAUCAUGUUCACCCUAAAAACCAAGCUACAGCAAUGGCAGAGUGAUGGUUUCUUUGGGACUGGUGUACUCCUCCAGCAGUUUCCAGACAGAAAGGCAGCUGUGCUCAGAGAAGACAUGUGCAACUUCUACCAGUCCUCUCACCUACCUGGAGCUGCGCUAUGACUUCUCAGACUCCAACUACCAAAGGAAAGUGGCUAGCCUGGCACUAAAGAAGAGCCCAUUCAACUUCUCUCAUCUCUGUGAAGCUGUAGAGGUCUUGCAGCUAAGCAAGAAGUUGGACAUGGAUGCGCUAUAUGAUGAAUAUUGUGUCGUUCUGCCACACCAACAGGCCAUUGUGCACUCUCCAGUCGUGAAGUGGGCCACCUUACUUAAGCACACACACACACAUCAAACAUGACAGCAUUUGCUUCUUUCCUCUUGAGUGUACCAAUCACCAAUGCUUCAGUGGAAAGGGUCUUUUCACUGACAAGAUGCUUGACGGACACAAGGAACAGAUGUUCGGUAAACCUUAUCAAGUCAGAAAUGCAGGUGAAGAGCAACUUCACAUUCAGUUGCAAGGACUUCUACACUUCUCCUCAAUGCUGUACACUCCAACAAGAAAUACAAAACGAAGAUGCUGGUGAAAAGGACUGAAAUAGUCCUAAAGGUGUCCCCAGAACACUGGAUACAGUUGGACACUGGAAACACUUUUCUGCGCCUGCCUUUCCUGCCUUGCCCUCCAAGUUUACCAUCCUUCCAUCCCCUUCUUGUUCCGUGAGCCUCUGGAGUUGUCAGUUAAAAGCUACUUUUUUUUUAAAACUUUUCCUGUGGUGUUCAGAAACUCCCAAUUCCUGUUAAUCCUAUAAUUUUAUAUUAGAAUGUAUUUAAAGUUAAUAAAUUUAAUGAAAAAUGUGGCAGUGCAUCUGUCAAUUCAUUGAAUGUUUAAAAUAUUGUGAAUCUUUAUUUAGAAGAAAAUACACAUUGGUUGGCCUAUUCAUGAGCAUAUUACAGCAACAUUACACAUGUUUAGGGGAAUAGGGCAUUAUUAAUAUACCAUGUAAGGUGGUUUGUGCUAGAAAUGGGUAAAGCACUAUCAGUGAGUCUUCUCGUGGGGUGGGCACCGCUGCGCCAUUCAGUGUCCCACAUUGUCCAUCAAAAAAUACCCCUUGUCCCCCCUUGGGCUUAUUAGCAGGCAGGGCUGGACUGGGACAAAAAAAGGGCCCUGGCAUUUCUGCUCAGACCGGCCCCCCACAAUCGGUCGGACACAACCACCAACCAGUACACUAUCCUAGCUUUCCCUGUAGAUAUGCAUAUCUACUGUUCCGUUCCCAAAAACCCAUACAAGGUUGAGAACUACUGUAAGUGCCAUGGACAGUAAUGUCGGUAAUCAGACAGUUGAUGGACCCCAUUGACUUCCAUAGUAGAAAAAAAAAUACUAUGGAA